RNAcentral lists this ribosomal RNA (254 nucleotides) under uncultured bacterium. Its description in RNAcentral is "partial 16S ribosomal RNA". It matches the Rfam family "Bacterial small subunit ribosomal RNA", at positions 524 to 776 of the family's 1533-position model. The record is from RNAcentral.
UACGUAGGGGGCGAGCGUUGUCCGGAUUUAUUGGGCGUAAAGAGCUCGUAGGCGGUUUGGCAAGUCGGGUGUGAAAACUCCGGGCUCAACUCGGAGACGCCACUCGAUACUGCCAUGACUCGAGUCCGGUAGGGGAGUGCGGAAUUCCUGGUGUAGCGGUGAAAUGCGCAGAUAUCUGGAGGAAUACCGGUGGCGAAGGCGGCAUCCUGGACCGACAUUGACGCUGAUGAGCGAAAGCUAGGGGAGCAAACGGG